Molecule: transfer RNA, 68 nt
Filed under: Marmota monax (woodchuck)
Lineage: Eukaryota; Metazoa; Chordata; Mammalia; Rodentia; Sciuridae
Description: tRNA.Ala
Source: RNAcentral
GCUGUAGCUCAGGGGUAAAGUGCUUGCCUUGCAUGUGUGAGGCACUGGGUUCAAUGCUCAGCACUGCA